This 36400-nucleotide long non-coding RNA is filed under the name Eucalyptus grandis. RNAcentral describes it as "long non-coding RNA (EGRA_LNC005113)". Lineage: Eukaryota; Viridiplantae; Streptophyta; Magnoliopsida; Myrtales; Myrtaceae. The record is from RNAcentral.
GUUCUUGCACUGAUUCCUCACUCCUAGUGCGUCCCACUUUCACCAGAUUUCUGAGGAAGAAAGGAAAAUGUCGAGCUCUCAGUGUUUUGAGAACCCACCAAACCUGAGCUCCACUUGCGGAGCAGGACACAUUGAAGAGCUUGCAGGUCUCAAGACUUACGUCACCGGCCCUUCCGAUUCCAAGCGUGCUGUUCUUCUCAUCGCCGAUGCUUUCGGUACUGGCCCAUUUCUUUAAUUUUGAUUUUGUGGUGUUUCUCUCAGUUGGGUCUUUUCUUUUGGUCAAUUAUGUAUAUCUUCUUGGUUCUUUGUCGUUCUUGUGCUUUUCGAUUGGUCCAUGAUAUUGCUGCUUGAUUGAUGAUCUUUGCUCAUCUGUUUGUGCAGGGUAUGAGGCUCCUAAGCUGAGGUAUGGAAUCUUUCUCAAGUUGUUCUAUGUAUAUGUUGUUCUGUAGUGCCAUCUUUUGAAGUUUCGUAGCGAAUAAACUCUGUAUUCUCCGGAUAGCAUACAUUUGAAAGCUUUGCUUUUCCGUUCACCUUUCACCUGUGAUGACGAAGAGCAUUAGAUGGCACUUGAAGGCGAAGCCAGUUCAUUCUGGAUGAGUGUGUUUGGCGUUCUUCUGUUCCAAGUUAAAACAUCAUUUGUUGAAUUGUAUAUACACGUGGGACUUCAUGGCAUAGUUCAGCUGACAUUUGAUAUACAUCGCUUGAUUCAAUAUGAAUCACAGUUUUCUUUGUUCUAAUGAUUUCCGCUACUAAUAUGGCUCAGCUGGUUAUGUAAUUCGGUUUCAUCUUGAGAUAGAGUUAUCCUUAGUUGCAACACCAAAAUCACAUAAGCUGGGUUUGCCUUCUUGACAGUCCCGGCAUGAUUCUAUGUUUUAACAAGAUUGAGAAUGAUGAGAGUUACCUUUUCAAAUGGUCAUACUUAUUUGCGGAAUGCUUUUGUUGUGUAGGAAACUUGCAGAUAAAAUUGCAUCAGCAGGAUUCUUGGUGGUUGUACCUGAUUUCUUUUACGGAGAUCCCAUUAUUGAUUUCACUAGUCCUAAUUUCAAUUUAGAAGCUUGGUUUAAGAAUCACGGCACGGUGAGUUUUUCACUCCUUCAGCUGUGAAAGUGUGACAGUACAUUUAGAAGUUCAGAGGAAACAAGGGGCUUUCUACGGUGCAGACUUGAUUUGUAGACUCGAAUCACACGCAGUAAGCUGCAUUGGUAUUUAGACCUGGUUGGAGAUUGCUGGUCAUUUCAAAGAUUUUCGACAUCCAUCAAGAUCUUUAUUAUACCAAGUUCCAAAUGCAAAACAUGAAACAGAAUAAGUAGAAUAAAAGCCUCAUGAAUUUUGAUGUUACCGACUUUUAGGCAGUCUUUUUAUAAACGUUUACUUCAUUUGCUUCUUUAGGAUAAAGGGUAUGAAGAUGCCAAGCCAGUGAUUGCUGCUCUUAAGAGCAAAGGUGUGUCUGCCAUUGGGGCUGCAGGAUUUUGUUGGGGAGGUAAAAUUUUCUGAAUUCACUUUCCCAGUUCUGAGGGGGUUGUGGGGUUAAGAAAUGGAAUAUUUGUUCUACAUUCACCGUAGAGAAACUAGUUUUGUUGACUUGCAGAAAAGUUCUUUCAAGUUGUUAAACAGAGCUUGCCUAUUCUUUUCAGGAAUGGUGCUGGUGAAAUUAGCAGGUACUGAAGACAUUCAAGCAGCAGUUAUUCUGCACCCCGGUCCUAUGACUGAAGAUGAAAUCAAAGGUAAAGCUAUGCCAGUAAACAUGGACUUGCUAUUUUCUUUUCAGCCGCAGCGAUAUAAUUUCUUAAUGAGGGUAUUAGACUUGGUACUUGGCACGGGAGCCUUUAUCGCCUAUUAUGAAAUGCUCAUGAACGAUUAAAUUUAUGAAUUCUGAUGGGAGUCUGCAAUGCAGCCGAGAGUGACAAAGAAACUCGCUAUAACAUGUCCGGUCAAUUACAAGAAAUCGAUGGCACAACUUUUGUCUGCUUGAGAAGUGUUCCUUAAACUGGAAGCCUUAAAGACCUUAUUUUCUUCUGUUCUUUGUCCAGCUGUCAAGAUUCCAACUGCUAUAUUGGGAGCUGAGAUCGACCAUUCUUCCCCGCCGGAACAACUGAAAAAGUUCGGGGAGAUCAUGUCGGCUAAAACUGAAGUAAGCUUCUUAGGAUGCUUUGCGUUGGUUGCAAACCAAUUGUCAGAAAAUGCAAUCGUUUUUCCACGUUCCCGUCAUUUCGCUUGCAAAGCACCUUUCCCUUCCUGGUUAUUUAUACACAUCGCUAAUUCAAAGACCCCGGUUUUGCAGUUUGAGAGCUAUGUGAAGAUAUUCCCUGGUGUUAGUCAUGGAUGGAGUGUGAGGUACGACGACGACAAUGAAUUUGUGGUCAAGAGCGCCGAAGAGGCCCAAGAGGAUACUUUGAAUUGGUUCUUGAAGCAUGUCAAGUGAAGAGAACCGAAGGCAUUGAAGCACAACAUUCUGACGGAAGCAUUAGAUGACUGUAUUGUGUGAGACGAACAGUUUGAGGACUAGUCAUCUAUUGUAAUAUCUGGCGAGGGAACAAUGUACUGUGCUGUUGAUACUUAGAGAAAUAAAGACAUUGGUUUCAUCGCUUAAACUUGGAAGAUUGAAAACGAAAUAUAUCGCCUAGAGUUGUAUCGUGGCGAUUUUCGUGGCGAUUUGGGUGCAUUUUCUAUUCGAAUUGAUCAGAGGUGUUCACUGUCCAUUAAAUGAGGACCACACAAUGGAAUAUGAAACAGCAUAUUCGUUUCCCAAUCCCCUUUUUGAAGGAUAUGUUAUUGCAUGGUUACCACCAAGUCAUCAGCUAAAGUGGCUAAUAUCUAAGGUAAUCUCUAGACCACUUAAUUUUGAAUGCAUCCAUUAUAUUAUAAGUUAUAACUUGACAAAUAUGCGAGCAAUUAAGAUUUCAUUAAAAGAUACACGAUCUCAAAAUCGCAUGCCCCAAGAAAAAAAAAGAAAAAGAGAUGAAAGUAAGGAUAUGGAGAAAAAUAGUAUCCAAAAUAUAUGAGAAACCAACUAUUCGAACUUAUGACAAAAGCGAAGCGUUUGUUUUUGGUCAAGUCUAUAUGAUAGUAGGUCAAGAUUUUUCGAAACUAAAUCAGAUAGACAUGGAAAAAUUCGUCCUUCAUGUAUAUGGUAUAUAUUUUCGCAAUGUGCAUUUGUAUACUGACCAAAAAAUUUCAGCUUUUGGCCAGAUGGUGUUUUUUUGUGAGAGGACGCAUGUCUCUAUCGGGCUAAAUAUAUAAUGGUUUCGUCUUUGUUCGUUUCUCGUCUGUUUCUCACCGGCCCUCUUUCUUGUUUGACAUCAGCAGUGACGUUAAUACGAACCACGAGACCUUUGAUGACUAAUCCGAACCAUAAGAUUACACGGGCAAGGUGUCUGCAAGAGUAACUUUUUCAGACGCUGUGAUAUCGUAUCGCGGAUAAGCCAAUGGUUUUCAGAAGGCAAAGCAUGAUUCCACUUAGCGACCAGUGAAUCACCGUAUCAUCUCUCGUCUCUUGGCUCUGUUCUUACCUCGGAAAGAAUAAAGAAACGAAGAAAAAGACCAUGAACAGUAAACAAUGAAAGAAAAGAGAAGAAAAGAUCAAAAUAUCUAUAAAUUUUUUCAAAACGACGUCGUUUUGAGUGGAGUUGUGCAUGUCAAUAUCACUAACCCUUGCCAUGUAAGAUGACAAGCAUUGAUUUGCACCUCUACAUCAGAAUUUCCUGACAUAAAUUAGUUGGAUAGACAAUAUUACAAAAUUGUUGAAAGGUUCAUGACUACACUAGCCGAAUUGGACAGUUUAUUACAAAAUUGGAACUUGUACAAUUUGUUCACAGCUUUUGGGUAGUUUUUCCCAUCUUAAGUAAGUCGUAAUUCUAAUACAUGGAUGCAUAAGCUCUAUGCUUUUCUUAUUAUGAAGGUUGAAUUCCAUUUGAAGGUUAGGUAAUCGUUUUCUGGUUUAGGUAUUUAUUUUUUGUCCUAUGGUGAAUUAGGUGAUGCUUUUUUCGCCUCGUUGGGACAGAGAAAACUGCUUUGUCUCCAAUCCGGCAACUUCCAUAUUGCUGAACCUGGACAUGAAUUUAGUAUCUGUAACACAAUUGUUGAAAUAACCUAAUGAAAAAACCUAGAUUGGUCGAAAUUGGUUGAUUUGGGUCAUCUAGGAACCGGCUUGUUGAAUUAAAGUCUAUCAAACCCAUUGGUUGAUCCAGGCUGAAAUUGGAUUAGUCCACUUAUCAAUUGCGUUAACAUGUCAGGGCUCAACAGCCGGCAAUUAUCUGGAUUUGUAAGAAAGAUCCAUGCAUAGCCGGUGAUGGGCCUUUCUCUCUUGGAAAUUGGACAUUGCUGAAAAAUGCUUUCAAAGAUCUUUCUAUUGGAGUUUUCGAAGUUCUCCAUAUCCACAAAAAAUGUUUAACUUUUACUAGUUCAAAUUUUCAAAUGAGAUAAAAAAAAAAAUCAUUUUGAGAUGUUUGCUUUCAAAAGUUUCUAAAAUAAGUUUCUAAAGAAAAAUACUCGAGUUUAGCGCACAUCAGACGAUCCCUUCCUCGAGACUGUGGAGUGGUUCCUCGGGUCCAAGAUUCGGGGACAAGGGGGUAGGUUUCCCAAGUCCAAGCACUGGAUUCUACGCACUCCCGAGGCUUAGGUACGAGGCAUCGGAAGUAGGGGACCGAGGUCCCAUCUUGCUCUGUUGCGUAGUGGCGAGUGUUGGGGUCCCUGGUUCAACGCACCAACGUCCCGAGUCCAGCUACUGAAGUUUCAGGACUAAGCAUGGUGGUCUCGAAUUUGACCCACAAGCACCCAAGAUAUUGGGUCCUAGCACUUGGUUCCUAAGUUCGACCCUAAGGUCCUAUGUUUCGCAGCUGAAGUUCCCUAUCUCCAUAGAUGAGGCGAUCAGGUUCUCGAAUUUAGAUGAUAAGGUCUUGGUUUAGCCCUAGGUCAAGGGCAUGGGGAUUGGGGUCCCAAGUUCAAGGGUCGAUGACACGGGCGUGUAUUUUAAAUAUUAUAACUUUUUACUAAGUUCCUUGAUAUUUAACAUAUGCUAGGAUAGAAUUUCUUUGUAAUUUAAUUAGAAUUUCAUUAGUUCUUCAAAUAUGUUAAGUUUUCUUGUUAUAUAAAAUAUUGAGAGUUUUCCUCUGUUGCAUUCAUGUGUGUGCGCCAUCGUGUGUAGUGCGAGUGUUCACUUGUGUUGGCAAAUUGCCACUUGUGCAAUCACUCUUUUAUGUUACAUUAAACGGGUCCGGCAUUUGAGCACCGAUGUCUCAAAUUCAACCUUAAGAUGCAAAGCCCGGCCUGUCACACCCCAAAAACUACAAAGAAUGGGGAUGACACAAAGGUCCUUCUUUACAAAGGACGUAGCCUCAAACACAACCAGCAAACUGAUAUUAACUUAUAUAUAUAUCAGAUAAACCUUCAAAUUGGUUGCAACAUCAGAGUUCCUAUAUGUUGGAGAAAUCUUCCUGGAGUAUUUUGAAGCUGAUAAAACGUUUCCAUCAGUCUAGUCUGAAGAUUUGCAGACUCUACUAUUUAAAGUCUGAAGACCUCUGGACUGCCAGACUCAAGACUCAAAGUCUAUUCUCAUUGACAGUUUCUAAUCCGUCAAAGAAGGGCUAUCCAGGACUGGAUGUUUCGUUAAUGAUUUGACCUUAUCGAUUGGAGAAGAUCUCUUGGCUGUAUAUGACAUAACGGAAUCCUUUAUUGACUCAAAGAUUGAGGAUCUGAUGAUUGGCGGAGUAUACUUGGAAGGUUCUACUUAUGGAAACCGAGAUCCUGAUUGUAUGGGCGAGCAUGAUUAUGGGCUAUCGACAUAUUCCUUAAAUAGCUCGAAUGAUCUUCCUAAUUGAUUCUGUCCAACGGGAAGGUUGGAAGAAUUCCUUUGGUAAAUGCCAACGGGUAUGAUGGCAUAAAGGAGUAUAUAAGGAAGACGUUUAAGUUGUUCAAGUGUGUGUGUGAUAAAAGAAUUCCAAAGUCUGAAGCUCUUUGUUCUUAGUCAAUUCAUUUUCUGAGCGAAAUCUUGUACGCAAAAGAGAGUCCAUAUUCUUGAGAAACCUUGAGGAAGUGUGGUAGAGUAUUUACACUAUGGAAUCAAGGGAAAGCCUUGCUGUAACAACUCUUUUGUUUAUAGUGAAAUCCAGCCGGUGGGCUGUUAGUGCGGAAGAGUGGACGUAGGCUUGGAAUAAGAUGAACCACUAUAAUUUAUGUGUUCAUUUUCUCUUCCCUACUCUCUGCUUUACUUUGAUCAUAAUUUGCUUUGUUAACGAAAGGAGAACUUCCUUUCUAUUGUUUGCUUAGUAUUGCUCUCUUAUCUCGAGAAAAUAUUUUUUACACCUAUUCACCCCCCUCUAGGUGCUUAUACUAGAUAUCUCAAUUGGUAUCAGAGCCUGUGUACUCACUUUGUUUGAAGUGUUUUACUUUAGAGUUAAAGAUCCAUGGCUAGUAUGUUAGCUCCAGGGCUAGUAGAAGGGCAAAGCAAUACCAGACCACCUUACUUUGAUGGAAAUGAAUACAACAUAUGGAAAAACAAGAUGAAGGCGUUCCUAAGAUCAAAGGAUCCUCUGGAAUGGGACGUUAUAGACAACGGAAUCAUUCCUAAAGCUGCACCUGUCUUAGAGAGAGGAAAAGAAACUGUUGAGUCUAGUGAAAUGACUUAGGAAGAGAUAACCAAGAGACAAGCUCUUGAUGCAAAAGUAAUUUAUUCUUUAUAUUGUGCUUUGUCACCUACUGAAUAUAACAGAUUAUCUUCUUGUGUUACAGUGAAAGAAGUUUGGGAUAGAUUACAUAUUACCUAUGAAGGAACCGAUCGAGUGAAAGAAACCAGAAUCAACAUUCUCCUCGAUCAAUACGAAGCAUUCAAAAUGAAAUCAGGAGAAUCUAUAACUAACAUGUUUAGUCGUUUUACAGAAAUCGUGAAUGGUCUUGAAAAUCAAGGUUAACCAAUUUCUGAUCACAUGAAAGUAAACAAGCUACUGCGUGGACUCUCCAAGGAUUGAAAUCACAUAAAGACCUCAAUAAGGGAGACACAAAGAAUUAUGCCACUAUCUAUCGAUGAGUUGGUUGAGACUCUUCAGUCUUAUGAAGUGGAACGAAUCAAUGAAGACGAAGAUCCUAAAGGUAAGAAAUCCAUUGCAUUAAAAUCCAAUGAUGAUUCUGAUGUUACAGAUUCUAAAGACGAUAUGGAUGAUGAGGAGCUUGCUCUCAUGAUAAGAAGAUUCAGAAAGCUGAACAGAAAAGGAAGAAGAUUCAAUCCAAAGAAACAAAGUUUUCAAAAGCAACAAACUAAGUCCGUUGAGGAUGAUGAAUCAAAUAGAGAUGUAGUCUGCUUUGAAUGUAAGAAAAAUGGACACAUCAGACCCAACUGUCCUCUUCUGAGGAAGAAGAAAGGAAAAGUUGAAAAGUAUCAAAAUGCUCUUAAAGCAGAAACCUGGAGUGAUACAGAAUGUGAAGAAAGUGAUGAUGAUUAUGCCAAUUGUCUGGUGGCACAAUCGGAUUCAGAUUCAAACUCCGAGACAAACUCAGAUUCAGACAGUGAAGUUGAGGUGAGUAACUCUAAAAUCCCUAUUAAAGUUUCUAAAUACAUUGAUGAGUUGUGUUUUAGUCUUAAGACUUCUCUUAAAAGGAUUUCCGAACUUAAAAAGGAAAAUUCUGCAUUGAAACAACAGGAAAAUGUUUUGAAAGAAAAUGUGAAAUGUUUAGACAUGAAUGUUUCUACUCUUAAAGAAAGAGAAGACAACCUUUCGAAAGAAAAUGUAUUUUUAAAAAAUGACAUAUCAAAUAUUUUCAAAAGAUUUUCAAUAGGAUCUGAGAAACUUGAGAAAAUUCUUUCAGCAUAAAGACCUUAUUUCAAUAAAUCUGGUUUGGGAAUGACUGUGGAAACCAUUCCUUUAAUUGAUUUUCCUAAAGUGAAGGAAAGAAUUAAGCAAAGACCCAUAAGAGAUGCUUACAAAAAUCAUUUUAAAAAGGUCUUUGUAAAACCAAUAGGUCAGAAUGCUCUCAGAUGUUCAAAGUGCAAUAGUUCAAAUCAUUUUGAGAAAGAAUGUCCUAUGGUUUGGAAACCUGUUAAGAAAGUAUGGGCAAAAACCGCAUAUCAUACUAACACCAAUGGACCCAAGAAAAUAUAUGUACCAAAGAAAGUUUGAGUCUCUUUUUUAAAUGCAGGUCACUAUCAAGAAGAAGGUAAAAUGGUAUCUGGAUAGUGGAUGCUCAAGACAUAUGGCAGGAGAUUCAAAUUGUUUCAUAAAGCUCAUUCACGUAAAUGGUGGAAAAGUCUCAUUUGGAGGAAACAACAAAGGAAGAAUUGUGGGAUUCGGAACUGUAAAUAUUGGAAACCUCACAAUCAGCAAUGUUUCCUUAGUGGAAGGACUCAACUACAAUCUGCUCAGUAUCAGUCAGCUGUGCGAUACCGGUUUCAAAAUCAACUUUCAAGAAGGAAUAUGUUCAGGAACCAGUAAAGAUUCUACUAAGUCAUUCAUGGGUUGAAGACAUGGAAAUAUCUACCUCUUGGACGUGAAACCAAAUGAAUCGCAAUGUCUAAUCUCAAUUCAAGAUGAAGUGAACUUAUGGCACAUAAUACUUGGGCACAUCAAUAUGAAGCAAAUAGCCAAAAUUUCAGCAAAGAAGCUAGUUCGUGAUAUACCCAAUCUGUCAUACCAAAAGUCUGAUCUAUGUACACCAUGUGUAUUGGGAAAGCAUGUAAGAAAUUCCUUUAAACCAAUAAAUCAAGUUUCCACUAAUCGUGUACUGCAGCUUCUACAUAUGGAUCUCUUUGAAUCAACCAGAACUCAGAGCAUUAGAGGUAAUAAAUAUUGCCUAGUAAUUGUGGAUGACUACUCACGAUUUACUUGGGUAUAUUUCCUGACAAGUAAGUCUGAAACAUUUUCUUACUUUGAAAAGUUUGCUAAAAAGAUUCAAAAUGAAAAAUGGUAUGUUAUUUCAAGUAUAAGAACAUACCAUGGAGGUGAAUUUGAAAAUCAGGAUUUUACAAAAUUUUGUGAUAAAUUUGGUUUUCAACAUGUGUUCUCCUCUCCAUAUACUUCAGAGCAAAACGGAGUUGUGGAAAGAAAGAAUAGGUCGCUUCAAGAAAUGGCUAGAACUCUUUUAAUUGAAAGUAACAUCUCUUCACGUUUUUGGGCUGAAGCAGUUUCUAUAGUAUGUUAUAUUAUUAAUGGAGUUUUUCUAAGACCUAUUAUGGAAAAAACCCCCUAUGAGUUAUUCAAAGGAAAGAAGCCUAUUGUUUCAUAUUUUCAUGUGUUUGGAUGUAAAUGCUUUAUAUUGAAAAAUACAAAUGAUCGAGUUGGCAAGUUUGAAGAAAAAUCAGAUGAAGGCAUCUUCCUUGGAUAUUCUACCUCAAGCAAAGCCUACAGAGUCUACAACAAGAAGACUCAAUCUGUGGAGGAAUCAAUGAAUGUCAAAUUCCAAGAUUCUAUGCAAAAUGAAUCUAUUCAAACUCAUCUUGAAGAAUCUGAACUUGCUCCAGACUCUACAAAGUCUAAAUCUCAAGAAGCAGUUCAAACUUCGAAAGACUAGCAUCAAAUGAUUGUUGAAUAUUCAAAUGAAGAAAGUGAUCAUCAACCUGACAAAUCAACCGGUAACUGGAAGCAUAAGUCCAGUCAUCCCAAAGAUCUCAUUAUAGGCGACAUUAAUGAAGGAAUUCGCACAAGAUCCAAAAUGCGCGAAGAGUCUAGUGCUGUGGCUCUUAUUUCUGAAAUAGAACCCAAAAGCAUAGAAGAAGCUUUAUCUGAUGAAAGCUGGAUUGAAGCCAUGCAAGAAGAACUCAGGCAAUUCAGUAUUAAUGAUGUCUGGGAAUUGACUCCUAAACCGAAAGGUAAAUCUAUUAUUGGAGCUAAAUGGGUUUUCAGGAACAAGAUGGACGAGAAAGGAAAGGUCAUAAGAAACAAAGUAAGACUCGUGGCCAAGGGAUAUACGCAAGAAGAAGGGAUAGACUAUGAUGAGACUUACGCACCAAUAGCGAGGUUAGAAGCAAUUAGAUUAUUACUUGCUUUUGCUUGCUAUAAGAAUUUCAGGUUAUUCCAAAUGUACGUCAAAAGUGCUUUCCUGAAUGGAUUUAUCCAUGAGGAAGUCUAUGUGGAACAACCACCUGGGUUUGAAGACCCAAGGAAACCGGACUCAAUAUUCAGAUUGAAAAAGGCUUUAUAUGGUUUAAAGCAAGCACCUCGAGCUUGGUACGACAGGCUGAGUAAAUUUUUAAUUCAAAACGGUUUUGUCAAAGGUAAAGUAGACACUACUCUAUUUAUCAAAAGAGAAAGCAAAAGUUUUCUGCUUGUUCAAAUAUAUGUUGAUGAUAUUAUUUUUGGAUCCUCUUAUCAAAGUCUGUGCAAGAAAUUCUCUAAGUCUAUGCAGGAUGAAUUUGAAAUGAGCAUGAUGGGUGAACUAACCUUCUUUCUUGGACUUCAAGUGAAACAAUUGAAUAAAGGAACCUUUAUUCAUCAAGAAAAAUAUGCUAAUGAUCUUGUCAAAAAGUUUGGACUGGAAAAUUGCAAAAAGACUGAUAUACCAAUGUCAAGUUCUUUAAAGAUAGACAAAGAUGAAGGAGGAAAGAAGGUUGACCAGAAGCUAUACAGGAGUAUCAUUGGUUCACUUCUUUAUCUUACUAUUUCUAGACCUGACAUUUUGUUUAGUGUUUGCAUUUGUGCUAGAUUUCAAGCAGACCCUAAAGAAUCUCAUCUAAGUGCUGCAAAGCGUAUUAUCAAAUACAUUGCAUCAACUUCAAGCCUUGGUCUUUGGUAUCCUAAAAAGGGAGACUUUACUUUUCUUGGAUACUCAGAUGCAGAUCUAGCCGGAUGCAGAGUUGAUAGAAAGAGCACCUUGGGUAUCUGUCAACUACUUGGAAGCAGGACAGUGUCUUGGUUUUCAAGGAAGCAAAAUAUAGUGGCUCUUUCUACAGCAGAAGCAGAGUAUGUAGCUCUUGGAAGUUGUUGUUCACAAAUUCUGUGGAUAAAACAAUAGCUAAGAGACUUUGGAAUUGAAGAUUCAUGCACGGAGAUUAACUGUGACAACACCAGCGCAAUCAAUCUCACCAAUAAUCCAAUUCUUCACUCAAGAGCAAAGCAUAUAGAGAUUCGACAUCACUUCAUUAGAGAUCAUGUUCAGAAUGGAGAAGUUUCGAUUCAGUUUGUUGACUCAAAGAACCAACUGGCGGAUAUAUUUACAAAGCCGUUGGAGAAAAAUCAAUUUGAAAUCAUUCGUUCCAGACUCAACAUCUUGAGGUUUGAAGAAGUAAAAAUCUAGAGACUCUCAGACUCAGACAAUCAAGAUCGUUGAUUGUAAGUUAUUUUAUUCUCUCUCAGAUUAAAUCUUGAAAAGGUACGAUCAUAUGUCCAUAAUUGAUUUUUGCUACUUUCAAUUUCCGUGAUUAGUGCAAUCUUUCUUUUUCGAAAAUGGAGUUAAUUUUUAAAUGGCAGUUAUCUAUUUUUUUUGAAAAAGGCAGUUAUUUUUUAAAAGGGCAUCUUUUUACUUUUCAUUACGACGUUUUGUAUGCCUCUCUUCGACUGACCUAUAUACUGUUGGUUUCUCUUCGUUUAACUCCAAAAACUCUAAAAAGCAUCGAUCUUCCACUUCUGUCUUCUUCUCUUGUUUAAUCUUCGAAAAGUUGUCAUUUUUCUUGGGAAAGUCAAGUUUGGAAUCUUUCAAAGACUGUGAAAGAUGUCGUCUCAAAGGAAGUCUUCGAGGAUCGCGAACAGGGGACCGCAGCAAAUGCGUGAGGGGCCUACGCACUUUGAUCUCACCAAGGAAGAAGAGUCUCCUAGUCAGUAGCAGAGCCCACGACAUUCUCAGCAGCGUCCAUCUUCUCCAUCUAGACCACAGGAUGUUGCUCGUCGAGAAGAGGAAUAAAUAAUUGAAGAUGCAGAAUCGUAAGAACUUUUAAGCCCUCUUUUACCUACAAGCUUUAUCGUGCUUUGAAAAGGGGUGGAACUCCUUUGAAUUACAUUGAUGAAUUUCUGAAAGACAAAGGGUACAAAAAUGAAACCUUUUUUUUUUACGCACAAUGGAACGGUUGGGAAUUGCCCUUGCUGGGUUGGCAGAAGAGGCAAUGUCAAAUAUUCCAAUCGAUCCACGUGUUGGAGGGCUGAAUCAGCCAGAUGGGAAUGAUGAUGACAAGUUGUACAGUCAGUUUCAACCGAGAAUGGGUGUUGUGGCAAAAAUUUGGAGCAAAAGGACAGACUUGUUUCGAUCGGAGGAACACAAGCAUCUAUACUCUAAGUUGUUGAAGCGUGGGGUCAUAAACCCUAGAAGUGUGGAUUUUGAUUUCCUUGACGCUGUGAACGUUAAUUUGAGGGAAAAAUUCAGUCUUCUUCAACUUGAACAGUUCUGUUCUGAAUCUACAGAAGCCUAUGCUGAACUCACUACAUACUUCUAUUCAAAUCUCAGUUUCUUAGAUGCGAAUAGAUUCUCUUUUAGUGUCCGAGAUCAGGACUAUGUGGUGGAUGUAGAUAUGUUGGCUGAUGUGAUUGGGGUUGAGAGAGGGAGAUAUCAACCUAUAAAUGUCUCUAUUGCUCGUGCUACGUUAGAACUUGUUAAGGAUAGAAGGAUAGAGGGAAAGGUUUCCUACUCGAGGAUGAGUGCGUUCAACAUUCUACUUCACAAGAUUGUGAUCAAUUGCCUCAGACCAAAAUCUACUUCAAAGACUGAUGUUUCAAACUCAGAGGCAAAACUGAUGUAUGCCAUCAAUGCUGGGAAAAAGUUCUCUCUUCCUCAUACUAUUAUAUUACACAUGUAUAGAGCAGUGGUGAAAGACAAGGGUCAAAUUCCUUAUCCAGCUCUUGUGACAAAGUUAUUUAGACAUUUGAAUGUUUAGCCUCCCCGGAUUCUCUGUGUUCGAAUUUGUGAUCAAAUGGUAGUGGGACUGAAAAUGGUAUCUAAAAUGCAUCUGAAGGAACUCAACAAGGCGUUGGAGAAAUUUAAGGAGAAAACCCCUGUCAAAACUCAUCAAAUCUCUUUGGCAACAAAAAGAAAAGGGAAGGAGCCCAUGGUUGCUCCAUCCAAGAAAAGAAGAGCUCUCAUUGUUGAGGAUGAAGAAGAUGAGGAAGACAUCACCAUUACUGCAAUGGCAUUGAAGAACCUGAGUUGUUCUGUUCCAGAAUCAACGGAACGACAAGAGAAAGACACAGAACAGAGGACUGGAGAAAGAGAAGAUUUGGAAGCAGAAGAGAAAGAAACAUAGGAGAGAGAAGCUGAAGAAAGAGAUGCGGAGGAUGAAAGAAUUAAAGAAGAAGAAGAAGAAGAGGAAAAAGAAGAUCAAGAGGAAGGAGAGCAUGAGGAACACUCUUCUCCUCCUGAAGGCAUGGAAACAAGGGGAGAUUGUGAGAAAAGAGGAAUAUCCUCAUAUCCUACUACCAGUGAAGGAGUCAGCCGCUCUCCAGCAGAUCUAGAGGACAUCUAUGUCUCUCAAUUUCCUGAGGAGGGACAUGAUGUUUCAUUGCCCAAUCUGCGUGACUAUGCUGAUUUGCCAUCAUCUGCCUUUACUCCAUUUGAUCGUGCAGAAGCUAGUACGCAGACUGAUAAUUCAGCAGAUUUUCACAGAAUUCUUGAUGUUCUCUUAGAAAUGCGGGGUCGGAUAUAUGCUCUGGGAUGCGAAGUACAGAAUUUGCAGACUGCAAAUCAAGCUUCUUCAGUUUCUUUGGAUGAUCAGAUCCAAGCCCUUACUCUUCAGAUUCAAGCAAAUGCUAAGGGUGAAGAGGUGGCUCAACUGAAGGAAGAGUUGACAAAGCUGGAAGGCAUUGUCCAGUCAAUGGGAGAUUUUCAGCUUGUUCGUGUUCCCAAGCAUUCUUGAUUCCAUCUCAACCUUUUUUAUGAUGACAAAAAGGGGGAGAGAUGUGAUUUGAACUUUGAACCUUGAACUUUUUUGAACUUGAUCUUGAACUUUUGAUUUGUUUUGAUGUUUGACUUGACUUUUGUGUCUGGCUGUGGACUAGAUUUGGGAUUUUGGAUUGACUGCUUAUAUUAAGUACUAUUGAUAUCUUAUGGAUGGCUUUACUCAUAUGCAAGACUAACCUAUUUUCUGUGGUUACAGAUUUUAGUGUUAUCAAUAAACCAUUUAUCUUUAUGAGAUAUCCAUAUUUGCUUGAGUAAUAUUUUGCAGGUCAAAGUUAUCCAAACUGUAGGAAAGUUUUGUCACCAUAAAAAAGGGGGAGAUUGUUGGAGAAAUCUUCCUGGAGUAUUUUGAAGCUGACAAAAUGUUUCCAUCAGUCUAGUCUGAAGAUUUGUAGACUCUACUAUUUAAAGUCUGAAGACCUCCGGACUACCAGACACAAGACUCAAAGUCUAUUCUCAUUGACAGUUUCUAAUCCAUCGAAGAAGGGCUAUCCAAGACUGGAUGUUUCGUUAAGGAUUUGACCUUAUUGACUAGAGAAGAUUUCUUGGCUGGAUAUGACAUAACAGAAUCCUUUAUUGACUCAAAGAUUGAGGAUCCGAUGAUUGGCGGAGUAUACUUGGAAGGUUCUAUUUAUGGAAACUGAGAUCCUGAUUGUAUGGGCAAGCAGAAUUGAUGGGCUAUCGACAUGUUUCUUAAAUAGCUCGAAUGAUCUUCCUAAUUGAUUCUGUCCAACGGGAAGAUUGGAAGAAUUCCUUUGGUAAGUGCCAAUGGAUAUGAUGGCAUAAAGGAGUAUAUAAGGAAGACGUUCCAGUUGUUCAAGUAUGUGUGCGAUAGAAGAAUUCCAAAGUCUGAAGCUCUUUGUUCUUAGUCAAUUCAUUUUCUGAGCGAAAUCUUGUACGCAAAAGAGAGUCCAUAUUCUUAAGAAACCUUGAGGAAGUGUGGUAGAGUAUCUACACUGUGGAAUCAAGGGAAAGCCUUGCUGUAACAACUAUUUUGUUCAUAGUGAAAUCUAACCAGUGGGCUGUCAGUGCGAAAGAGUGGACGUAGGCUUGGAAUAAGCCGAACCACUAUAAUUUCUGUGUUCAUUUUCUCUUCCCUACUCUCUGUUUUACUUUGAUCAUAAUUCGCUUCGUUAACGAAAGGAGAACUUCCUUUCUAUUGUCUGCUUAGUAUUGCUCUCUUAUCUCGAGAAAAUAUUUUUACACCUAUUCAUUCUCCCUCUAGGUGCUUGUACUAGCUAUCUCACUAUAAUCCACCAAAAAGAGAAAAGAGAUAUACGUUUAAAACUUAGAUGAUCCAACCACUAGUAAGGAUCAUUUGCAUCACUUCCUUAAACUAUACCAAAAACAAAAUAGAACUCCCCAAAAGUUUCCCACGACAGUGAACUCGCUCUAUUUGCCGCUAGCUGAGGAACCUAAAAAGAUCAAAGGAGGAAUAGGAUGAGCAACCAUAGCUCAGUGAGUAGUACAUAUCUUCUAAACAGAUCGAACAAUCACUAUGCAUAUAUACAAAGCAAUACCAAACUUCAUAACGCCAGCUCAAUAUAUAAAAUACGUAUUGAAUCUUAUAAGAGUUAUUUCUUAUCAUCAAAUAUUUAUAGUAAUAUGGAAAACUCAUUUGAAUCACCAUCAAAAGUCAAGUAUCAAUGGUUGAAUCCAUUGAAUAAUCUCCAUCAAAAACACAUAUCAAUGGCCUAUCCAUUGAUUAAUCUUUUGCUCAAUAACUAACCAUGGUCACGACACAACGCCUUGUGACAAGGCAACCAAGAUUCUCCCUUUGGCAAGGUUUCCACCUACAAAGCCGGUGGCUGAGCCCAGAAGGAUAUCAUAAACCUGGUAUGUAUACCCCAAAUUGAGCAUAAAUAACCAUUCUCCAAUACCAGAAAUCCAAUCCAAAAAUCAAUAUCUUAAACCAAACAAAUAACAUUUUGCAACAUAGCCCAUCAUCCAUUUCAUACUCAUUUCUCAAAUCAUUAAAUCUUUCCAUAAAUCAGUUGCAAAGCAAUUUCAUAUAUGUUUCUUCACAAACCUUGUAUAACGUGCUUUUCAAAGAUUCACAAUCAACCAAAGGGUAGCAAUUGUUCGAUCUGGCUUUUAUGCAAUAAAAAUGCUCUUCUCAAUUCAAUACAUAUACAUAUACAUAUAUAUAUAUACUUCAAGACAUGAUUUUAUAAAACCAAAGAAAAUAUAGUACUACUCACCUUGUCGUCUAUGACCAAACGACAAAUGAUACUUGCAUCGUCGAACUCAAGGCCCUAUCAAAUAACCGAAGAAUAAUGUUAAAAUCUAAUAAAAUUUUAUCUCGACUACAAAAUGACUAAGUUACACCUUAACUCUAACAAAAGGACUUCUGCGUGCUAACAAGUUGCAUAACCAAAGCGAUUGUUCAAGCCAUUCGCAACAUGAAGUUUAAGCGCAAAACUUGAUCGAGCCUUAACUCUCUCUUCCAAACCCCGAUCCAAACGUACUUAUAGUCAAUAGAGAGCCCUUGACACAUAUUGCAAGAAUCUCAACUUCACCGUCCCAAAAUCAAGCCAAAAAAUGACAAAAUACGGGCCAAAGCUGCUGGACGCGUACUGUUCACUGCGCACGGAAAACUUUGAAAUUUUGUUUCGGACAAACCAUAAGCUCAAAUCAUGAUCCGUAAAAUCUCACGGCUCCACAACACCCUAAACUACCAUUUCUACAAAAAUAUGCGGCUCAACGACUCUAAAAUCAGAUUUCGCCGCUCAAUUUUCCAAAAAUUUCGAAUUUGAGUCCCAAAUUCAAAAAUUACUUCAAUUGGAUGAACGAGGGACUCGAUCUCUUACCGGAUGCUGCGUUAUGGAGUCGAGUCGGCUUGGUGAGGUAUCCGAGGCGUGCACAUGCCAAAACUCCUUUCCUUUCUUCCCCUUUCUCUUCUUCUUCUUCUUCUUCUUCUUCUUCUUCUUCUUCUUCUUCUUCUUCUUUUCUUUCUUUUCUUUUUGGUCGAGGAAACUCUCAGCUUCUAUUUAGCCGAGCCCUCUCCCAUCUCUUUUUUCUUUUUUCUUUUUUAUUGCGUUUUUAGCUUUUCGACUUCUUUUUCCGUUUCUUCUUUUGGGGCCUUUAAAACUUCUUUUUCUGUUUCUUCUUUUGGGGCCCACUAGCCUAAUGUUACAUGGCCCAUCAGGCAUCGGGUUUGAAGAGUAGGUUAUUAGGAUCUUGAGUUCUUUCCUUGAUAUCUUGAGUCCUGAAUAUGGGAAUGGUGUUGGUGGUGGUGGAAGUCAAAUCAGAUUCUAGAAAAUGUUGAGUCCUUUCAAGUGGCGGAAAUUUAUUUCCAAAAUCUGAGUGAAGAUUUCUAAUGGAUUAAAAAAAUUCUAUAUUAAAUCAUGUUUCUAAACAACGUCAAAAGGCAAAAGAUGAAGCAGGUAUUUUACCAGCUAAUUUCCGACAAGACAAACGGCUCAAACGUAAUUCAUUAUGCAGAAGCUCCCUGAGACAAAAGGAUCACUUGAUUUUUUAUGGUUCGUUCUCAAAGCAGAUAUGUUCCAGACUUUUUACAAAGAUCAAUUGAUCAAGCGUAUUGGGAAAGUGAGCUUCAAUGAGCUUUAGAGUUUUGACCAUUGAAAAGGGGAAUUUUUUUUUUUGGUAAGGUUGAAAAGGGGAAUUUUUCUAUAUCAAUCAUCUUGAAGUUGGCAUAGGGUGUUUCUAUCAGUUACUCAAAUCUCUUUUAGCUAUUGUUGAAGCAAGCGUCAUUUGACUUGAUUGGUCGAAUUAGGCGGAAUCCACACGUGUAAUCACCUCACCUUCGUGUUCUUUUGGACUUACCCAAUGAAGCACAUAUUUCUAUUUCUCCAGCAAUUAUCUAAUGCACAUGGUGUCACACCUUAAAACUACAAAGAAUGGGGAUGACACGGUCGUCCUUCUUUACAAAGGACGCAGCCUCAAACACAACCAACAGACUGAUAUUAACUUAUAUAUCUCAAACCAUAUAUUUAUCAGAUAAACCAACAAAUUGGUUGCAACAUCAGAGUCUCUAUAAUCCACCAAAAAGAGAAAAUAGAUAUACGUUUAAAACUCAGACGAUCCAACUACUAGUAAGUAUCAUUUGCACCACUUCCUUAAACCAUAUCAAAAACAAAAUAGAACUCCCCAAAAGUUUCCUACUGAUGGCACACUCGCUCUAUUCGCCGCUAACUGAGGAACCUGAAAAGAUUAAAGGAGGAGUGGAAUGAACAACAAUAGCUCAGUGAGUAGUACAUAUCUUCUAAGCAGAUUGAACUACCACUAUACAUGUAUACAAAGCAAUACCAAACUUCAUAACGCCAACUCAAUAUAUAAAAUACAUAUUGAAUCUUAUAUGAGUUAUUUCUUAUCAUCAAAGUUUUAUACUAAUAUGGAAAACUCAUUUAAAUCGCCAUCAAAAGUCAAGUAUCAAUGGUUGAAUCCAUUGAAUAAUCUCCAUCAAAAACACAUAUCAAUGGUCUAUCCAUUGAUCAAUCUUUUGCUCAAUAACUAACCAUGGUCACGACACAACGUCUUGUGACAAGGCGACCAAUAUUCUCCCAUUGGCAAGGUCUCCACCUACAAAACUGAUGGUUGGGCCUAGAAGGAUAUUCUAAACUUGGUAUGCAUACCCCAAAAACCCCUCACUGGGUUCACAAUUAUAUUGAGCAUAAAUAACCAUUCUCCAAUACUAGAAAUCAAAUCCAGAAAUCGAUAUCUUAAACCAAAUAAAUAACAUUUUGCAACAUAGCCCAUCAUCCAUUUCAUAUCCGUUUCUCAAAUCAUCAUAAACAUUUUCAUAAAUUAGUCACAAAGCAAUUUCAUAUAUGUUUCUCCAGAAACCUUGUAUAACAUGCUUUUCAAACAUUCACAAUCAACCAAAGAGUAGCAAUUGUUCGAUAUGGCUUUUUAUGUAAUAAAAAUGCUCUUCUUGAUUCAAUAUAUAUACAUACAUACUUCAAGACACGAUUUUAUAAUACCAAAGAAGAUAUAAUACCACUCACCUCGUCGUCUACGACCAAACGACAAACGAUACUUGUAUCGUCGAACUCAUGGCCCUAUCAAAUAACUGAAGAAUAAUGUUAAAAUAUAAUAAAAUUCUAUCUCGACUACAAAAUGACUAAAUUAUGCCUUAACUCUAACAAAAGGACUUCUACGCGCUAACAAAUCGCAUAACCAAAGCGAUUGUUCAAGCCAUUCGCAACACGGAGUUUAAGCACAAAACUUGAUCGCGCCUUAACUUUCUCCUUCGAAUCCUAAUCCGAACAUAUUUAUAGUGAAUAGAGAGCCCUUGACACAUAUUACAAGAAUCCCAACUUGACUGUCCCAAAAUCAAGCCGAAAAAUGACAAAAUAUGGGCCCGAAGCUGCUGGAUGCGUACUGUUCACUCGCGCGGGAAACUUUGAAAUUUUGUUUCGGACAAACCAUAAGCUCAAUCACGAUCCAUAAAAUCCCAUGGCUCCACAACACUCUAAACUUCAAUUCCUACAAAAAUACACGGCUUAGCGACUCCAAAAUUAGACUUCGCGCUCGAUUUUCCAAAAAUUGAAUUUGAGCCCUAAAUCCAAAAAUUACUUCAAUUGGACGAACGAGGGGCCUAAUCUCUUACCAGGUGCUGCGUUAUGGAGUCGAGUUGGCUUGGCGAGGCGUCUGAGGCGUGCACGUGCCAAAACCCCUUUCCUUCCUUCCCCUUUCUUUUCUUCUUCUUCUUCUUCUUCUUCUUCUUCUUCUUUUCUUUAUGGUCGAGGGCCCUCGAGGGCCCUCAGCUUCUAUUUAACCAAACCCUCUCCCCUCUCCUUUUUGCUUUAUCGGCUUUUUAGCUUCUUUUUCUAUUUCUUCUCUUGGGGCCCACUAACAUAAUAUUACACAUGGGAUGGGGGUACUAACACAUCUAAUAGGGAUGGGAUUAGUUGGGCACGCAAAAAGUCCUAGAAAUCCAUUGCUACAACAAAAGAAUUCGAGGAAUUUGAAACAAGUGACUUUUCCUUUGUCUAGCUUGAAGAGAGAUUCUUCUAUGCCUCAUGAAUGUGACAUUCCUAUUCAUCAAAAUCAAUCACCACAUGUUGAUUAUUGUAAAUUGCCUUAUUUUCUUUUAAAAUUAAAAAAAAAUUGCAUAGACAAUGACUAGAUUGAUUGGUCAGAUCAUCGUUAAAUUGCUUCCUCAAUAGGUGCAUUGAUUGUUGAUCCUAAACUAAACUUAAGAGCUUACACUUCUUUGUGCACACAAAGUUUCAAUCUCUUAUGAACUUGAUAAUAAUGGUCAUAGAACUAUAAAGUUUUUUUUUUAAUUGAGAGGUGUUGAAAAUAAUAGUCACCAACAACAGUAGGCACAUCAAAAGAAGUCUCUAUGGGAAGGUUACACCAUUGUUCCAAAUUCUAAUCUUGAUUAAUGAUGUGACAUCUUCAUUGGGUCUUGAAGUGUCUGUUUAAUUCUCUUUGCUCCAUAGCUAGCAUAUACUAAUUCAAUUUGGAUCAACCGGUUUUACGACUAGAGUGCAAAACGGAAAGAUGAAAUAUAGAUGCCCCUCGGAGAUACCCUAAUUAUAAAUUUCCAAUCAUAACAUUAGGCAAGAUAAAAAUUUGCCAAAUUGAUUGUGACAACCUCUAUAGGGAAUAGAUAAAAAUGCCCUAAUUGUGCACACGACAAAAUGAUUGCCCCCAUCACUAGACAUGGACGGCCCAAUGUUUUACAAUAUUUUACCAGCUAAUUUCCAGCAAGACAAACGGCUCAAACGUAAUUCAUUGUGCAGAAGCUCCCCGAGAUAAAGGGAUCACUUGAUUUUUUCUGGUCCGUUCUCAAAGCAGAUCUGUUCCAGACAAUCAAUUGAAUAUCCACGUAAUUAAGUGAAAUAGUGGCUUUUGUCUCAAUUUUACUGGUUUUCCUAAAUUAUCCAUAUAUGAAAUAUUAAAGAGUAAAAAAAAGAUAUAAAUUACAUUUUUGAUAAUAUCCCACCUUCAUUUGGUUCCUCCCGUAACUAUCCAUUUGCACCUACUCUUAUAUUGACUGACAAGAAAGUUAUGUUGUACCAAAAAGCACCAUCUCUUUAACCCACUGUCUGCACCUUUGACAGUCACAUGGAAUUCUCUUCUAUGAUCUCCGCUUCUUAUCAUCAUUCUCUUAUUAUUUUUAACGACGAAAUUCACUCUAUGACUGAAAUUUUAUCAACUUACAAAUAUUACUCAUGUAUAUUACAAAAUUCAAAUUAAAAUAAGCAUCACGAUUAUUAAGCCCGCGCACGCACGGUGCGUACAAACAAUCACCCAAUUCCAUGCACAUACAUAGCUCCUUUUUAAGCCAAAGAGAAGAGAGAAUCACUUGCAUCUUGAUUGAGUUGUUGUUACGAUACACGGACGCGUAAGCUCUAUGCUUUUCUCGUUAUGAAGGUUGAACUUCCUUAAAAGAUUACAUUAUCAUCUUCUGGUUUAGGUACUUAUUAUUGCCCUAUUGGUGAAUUAGCUGAUGCUUUUCUCCGCGUCGUCAGGAUAUAAUAUGCACAUAUUAACGUCAUGACAGGGACAACUGAUUUGUCUCCAAUCCGGCGACUUCCAUAUCGCUGAACUUGGACGUGAACUUUGGCACCCUUACAGUAGUUGUUGGAAUAGUCUAAUGACAAGAACCUGGAUUGGUCCGAAUUGAUUGAUUUGGCUUCUCUAGGAGCCAGCCCUUGAAUUAAAGUCUAUCAACCCCAGGCGUAGACUUAUAUUAGUCGAUCCAAGCUGAAAUUGAAGUGUCCCGUUCAUAGAUUGCAUUAGCAUGUCGGGACUCCAACAGCCGGCGAUUAGCUGGAUUCCUAAGAAAGAUCCAGCAGCAUAUUGUGACUGGUUGAUAAUGGCUCAAGGAAUUUCCAAACAAAAGCAAAGCAUAUGAUGGGCCAUUUGUCUCUUGGGGAUUGGACAUUGCUGAUUUUUUUUUUCUAAGAUCUUUAUGUUGGAGAUUUCGAAGUCGUUAAUUUUCAGAAUAUGUGUUUAGCAUUUCUUAAUUCAACUUUUCAAAUAAGCUAAAAGUCAUUUUGAGACCUUUGUAUUUCCAAACUAUUUUUUGAGAUCCAAGUUUAGCGCACAUCGAAUUAUCCAUAUCUAUAGACCUUGAUCCUUGUGCCAAGAACCAAGGAGAGUGGCGUAUUAGCUGUGGACUAGGAUCCUUAUGUGGAUGAUCCAGGGUCAAUUUACACAUCCAUGUAUUGGAAUCUCUAGGCUCCCGAGAUUAUAUAUGAGGCACUAAGUAGGACACCGAGGUCUCGUCUUGCCUUGUUGUCUAGUGGCGUGUGUUGGGGUCUCAGGUUCAAGGCACUGACGUUCUUAAUCCAAGAGGUCUUGAGACUAAGCAUUGAAGUCUCGAAUUUGAUCCAUAAGGGCGUGUUUGGUAACGUUUCUGUUGCCCGGAACAAUUUCUAAGCAUUUUAAGCUGUUUGGUAACUGUCCAAAAUUUCAAUUCUCAGAAUAGAAUUGCGUUUAGUAUAGUGCUCAAAAUUUCUACUCCAAAUCAUUUUCUUUUAAUUUUAAAUUUUUUUAAAUUUUUUUUCCUUUUUUCUUCUUUUCUUUUUUCCCUUUCUUUCUCAUAUUCUUCUUCUUCAAGUGGCCAAUUGUCAACAGGUUGGUCGGCGACUGGCUAGACGAGAGUUGGCAACCUCACCGGAGCGUUGCCAACCCUUGGCGAGGACGGCCAUUGUCGGCCGAGCCUCGCUGGCAGCUGGGCAAGGCUCGGCCGAGCCUCAGCGGGGCUGGGGGAGGCCUGCUUGGCCACCGACGAGGCUCGCCCAGCCCCUUCGAGCCUCAUCGAACUAGUUGCUGGUGAUUGGCGACGGUGGGCGGCGGAUGGCGAACGGCAACCACGACGGUGGCAGUAGAUGAAGAAGAAGAAAAGGGAAGAAGAACAAGAAAAAAGAAAAAAAAAAGAGAAAUUGAUUUUAGAAUUGUUCCCAAGAACAAUAAUCAACCUUUUUUAUUUUUAUUUUUAUUUAUUCUUGAUUCUGUUCCAAAUCUACUUUUGGGAACAAAAAAAUAGAAAUUUGUUUCCGAGAAUAAAAUUUUUACUAAACACGAUUCUAUUCCAAAAUUGCUCAUGGGAACAAAAGAAUAGAAAUUUUUACUAUUUGGCCAGUUAGGGUCUGUUUGGUAACCAUCCCAACAGUGCCAAAUUCUGAUUCUUUGUUCCCGGAAUCAGUUUCGGCCUAGAAUCGCGUUUGGUAAAUUUUUUGUUCCCGGGAACAGAUUGGGAAUAGAAUCAAGAAUAAAAAAAAAGUUUNNNNNNNNNNNNNNNNNNNNNNNNNNNNNNNNNNNNNNNNNNNNNNNNNNNNNNNNNNNNNNNNNNNNNNNNNNNNNNNNNNNNNNNNNNNNNNNNNNNNUCUUCAAGUGGCCAAUUGUCAACAGGUUGGUCGGUGACUGGCUAGACGAGAGUUGGCAACCUCACCGGAGCGUUGCCAACCCUUGGCGAGGACGGCCAUCGUUGGCCGAGCCUCGCUGGCAGCUGGGCAAGGCUCGGCCAAGCCUCAGCGGGGUUGGGGGAGGCCCGCUUGGCCACCGACGAGGCUCGCCUAGCCCUUUUGAGCCUCACUGAACUAGUUGCUAGUGAUUGGUGAUGGUGGGCGGCGGAUGGCGAACGGCAACCACGGCGGUGGCAGUAGAUGAAGAAGAAGAAAAGGGAAGAAGAACAAGAAAAUAAAAAGAGAAAUUGAUUUUAGAAUUGUUCCCAAGAACAAGAAUCAACCUUUUUUAUUUUUAUUUUUUUAUUCUUGAUUCUGUUCCAAAUCUACUUUCGGGAACAAAAACAUAGAAAUUUAUUUCUGAGAACAAAAUUUUUACUAAACACGAUUCUAUUCCAAAAUUGCUCAUGGGAACAAAAGAAUAUAAAUCGUUACCAAACGCGCCAUUAGCAAACAUGACCUAAGCAAGCACCCAAAGGUCAUGGGUCUGGGCAACUGGGACCUAAGUCCAACCACAAGGUUCUAUGUUUGGUAGCCAAAGUCUCAUCUCUUCAUGGAUUCAACGGUUUGAGUUUUGAGUUAAGAUGCUGAAGGCUUGGUUCAACCCUAGGUGCUAGGGACGGCGCUCAUUGUUCCCAAGUUGAUGACAUGGGAUGCAUGUUUUUAAAUAUUAUGAUUUUUAUUUAUUCUCUUGUCUUUCUUUAUUUUAGAAAUUAUUUUAGGAUACUGGAUGAUUUGUUUCAAUAGUUAUCAUUUACAUAUUUAAGAUAUCGUGGGAUAGAAUUUCUUAUUAGUUUACAUAUUUCCUAUUAUGAAAUUAGAAUUUCCUAAGUGUUUUAGAUAUAAAUAUGCAUUGUGUUUUUCUUGUAAUUUGGCUUAUUUAUUGAUGAAUAAAGGAAAAUUUUCAAAUGAGGGCAUAUGGUGCUCUCAUUUUCUCAAAUAAGUGCCCGAAGUAGCCGUUAUUUUAAAUAAGGGCUAGAAAAAAAAUGAAUUGACCAAAUUCUCUCGAAUAAGGACUUUUGGCUAGCCAUUGACUAUUCUGUCAUUGGAGAAAGGGUAUUUUAGUAAAAAAAAAAUUCUAAGUAUAUAUUUUUUAUUUUUCUCUCCUUGCCAUGCCUCAAGUGAGGGUUGCCUUUGCUGGCGUUGGGUGAGGGUGAAGGUUGCCCUUGUUAGCCCAAGUGAGGCGAUCCUUGCCCAAUGCUGGGGAGGAGGAGCCGUUGCUUGAGUCCAGCAACUUGAUGGAAAAUGGGGAAAAAAGAAAAAGAAAAUAACAAAAAAAAGAAAAAAAAAAAGGAAUUUUUGUAAAGAUGAAAAUGCCUUUCAAUCAGCAAGGUUAGCCUCUUCUUUGAGACCAAUAUGGCUACUUUAGGUAUUUAUAUGAAACAAUUUCACUUCAAGCUCUUAUUUGAGAAAAUUAUAGCACUUCAAGCCCUUAUUUAAAAUAAAGUCUACUUUAGGCCAUUAUAUGAGAGAAAAAAAAAAAGGAACACUUUAAGCCCUUAUUUGGAAUUUUCCCAUGAUUUAAUGGAAAAAUAGUGAGGUUUUCUUUGUAGCAUUUCGUGUAUGUGCAUCAAAAUGCAUAUCAUGAGUGUUUACUUGUGUUAAGGAAUUCCCAUAUAUGCUAUCACUCAUUUAGGUUAUGUUGGGCUAUCAUAGGUGUUGUCUAGGCAUCACUUGUCUAGCAGUAGUGCUUGUUCAACACUUGUUGCUCCAUAGCUUGCAUAUAAACUAAUUCGAUUUGGAUCACCAUUGGGUUUUUAUUUCUUAACCAUACCAAUUUGCUUCUUAAAUUCACCAAUUUAUCGAAAGGUUGAAAAAAUAAAAUCCAUGCCUAAUAAUUAGGGAAAAUAAAAGUUUAAUAUCAUCUCUGGUAGGAGCUGGAUUUAUAGUGCCACUAGUGAGCAAUUUCACCCAAAAGAACAUGUUUAAUUGAGAAACCUUGAACCGACACAAACAAGGAAAGGAUUACCCACAAAGGGCAAGACAGAAAAGGUGAAAUAUAGACUCCACCUUAAAAAAAAAAACCCAAUUAUAGAUUCACCAUCAUAGCAUCCAGCCAAAAGAUGGAAAAAGGAAGGAACCCCAUCGAUUGCGACAAUCACCAUCGGAAAAUAGAUAAGCUUCGCACAACUUGUGCACUCCACAAAAUGAUUGCGCCCAUCACAAGUUAUGGAGCGCCCCAAUGUCAACAUCUUUAGGGCUAGAACGGCUUAAUUGAUAAGAAAUCAUCUUGAUUAUCAUCAAGACAACGUUGGCCUAAGAAAUCGAGUCUGAUUGGGAUUUGGAAAAAAAAUGCAUAUAUUCGCGUCGAUAAUGAAAUUUUACGCGCGUGGGUAACAUUUUCAAUGGUGGGAUUGGUGUAGGUCUGCGCAUCCAGAAAUGAUUGUCACGACAAUGAGUCUUUAUCUUGAUAUUGAUUAAGUUUAACGAGUUUUUAUAAAGAGUCAAAUGAUUUUUUUUUUUUUUAAAGCAAAGGAUUAAUCAUUAUUUGAUGCCUAGGGGGCCGGCAAACACAGAGAACGAGGAGACAUCGCCAUAGAAAAAGUUGGUACCUUGAUUUGAUGGAUUUUUUCAUACUACGCACAUCAACCGUUCACGUACUCCAAAGGCGGGGCCUCUCAUGCUCCGAGUCAUGAAAUACCCACAAGAAUUUAUUUGCUUUGUCACUAUAUUAUUUAUCACCUAUGUAUGUAUUUAUGCAUCAACAUAGGUGAAAAUCAUCAUAUAUAAACCGAACCACUAUGAGUCAAAUCAUUUCAUACAUAUAUAUAUAUAUAUAUAUAUAUAUAUAUAUAUAUAUAAAGUAUGUUUGUUUUGUGAUUUUUGUUCUAUUAAGUUAAUGUAACAUGUACAAAAGGCGAUCGUCCGACGAGUUUGAGAUUUUACAAAACACAAGCUAAAUUGUUCCCUCUAGUCAAUUUCAAAAGAGUUGGAAUAUUGCAAACUUAACGAAUUUUUAUUUUCUUCGAAAAACAGAACACCAUUUGUCCGCACAACAAGAGGAGACAUUACCAAAUUUUGUGGACAUGCUUUGUCCGAGACCCAGCCCAUGUCCAGCAGCCCAGAUUGUGAUGGGUCCAGCCUGGACAGGCCCAUGGGGUGGCUGAUGGGCCUUGUCAAACACUAUUCAGUUGCUCUCCUAAGCUACAUAAACGAUCAACGAUAAAAUUCAAUGUCACAGGACAAGUUUCUGUCGGGCACAAUGCAAAUAAUGAGGUCCUAGAAUUAUAUAAUUGCUUUUGAGAUGCGAAGUUCUCAUUUAUCUAAAUCAAUCGUAGCAUGGCAAGUGUUACCAACUUCCUUAUCUUCUUUCAAGAUUAAUAAUAGUAUUUUUCCACAUGAUGAUCCACUUGGAUGGAUUGAAAUGUCAUACUUUGAGAGCACAUAAUUUUUUUUUUAGUAGAUAGAUAUUUUAUUCCUUCUCCUGUUUGCAUUCUAAUAUAAAAAUAUGAAUGCCGCUACCCAAUAUGCUUUCCACUUAAUGAUUGGAGCGUUGAUCUUGUUGUAAAUGCUAGAUCAUCAACUAGGCCGUCUUAAUAAAGAUUAGUUGAAGUUUGCUAUACUUAAGCUCUUUGUGAGGUGCCCAAAACGAGCUCCAAAUUGCAUAAAGACCUUCGACACGAGCCUGUAAUUUGAAGAGACAGUCGACGUGACCCCAAGUUUUGUAUAUUUGUAAUCUUAACGCAUGUAUGUUGUGGACCUACUUGGUCACAUCCCAUAUGCUUGGGUUCUGUCAUGUUCAAUUGGAUGUCACCAUAUCCAAGUUUGUCAUAGCUGUCGACCUAGACUAGGUAAGAACCACAUCAAUUUGCUUCAGUCGGUCGUGAGUAAAUUAUGAGCUGGGAUAAAUGCAAGUGAAUCUCAAGUGAUGCACUGGAGAAAAUAUUUGGAAAUGCCAUCGAACCUCACCUUUUGUCACUUCUAAGUAGUUAUUGAAUGAUCGGGAACGCCUUCUGUCACACCCGAAAACUACAAGAAUGGGGGAUGACACAGCCGUCUAUCCACACGAGGGACGUAGCCUCAAACACAACCAAUAAACUGAUAUCAACUUUUAUAUAUAUAUAUAUAUCUCAAUUAUAUAUAUACAUAUCAGCUAAAUCAAUAAAUUGGUUGCAACAUCAAAGUUUCUAUAAUCCACCAGAAAAGAUAUACGUUUAAAACUUAGACAAUACAACCACUAGCAAGGAUCAUAUGCACCACUUCCUUAAACCAUACCAAAGAAAAUAAAAAUAGGACUCCCUAAAAGUUUCCUACCAACGGCCCUCUCGCUCUAUACGCUGCUAACCGAGGAACUUGAAAAGAUUAAAGGAGGAGUGGGAUGAGCAACAACAGCUCAGUGAGUAGUACAUAUCUUCUAAGCAGAUCGAACAACCAUUAUGCAUGUAUAUAAAGUAAUACCAAACUUCAUAACGCCAACUCAAUAGAUAAAAUACAUAGCAAAUCUUAUAAGAGUUAUUUCUUAUCAUCAAAGCUUAAUAAUAAUAAUAUGGAAAACUCAUUUAAAUUGCCAUCAAAAGUCAAGUAUCAAUAGUUGAAUCCAUUGAAUAAUCUCCAUCAAAAACACAUAUCAAUGGUCUAUCCAUUCAUUCAUCUCAUAUCAAACACACAUCGAUGGUCUAUCCAUCGACCAAUCUUUUGUUCAAUAACUAACUAUGGUCAUGACACAACGCCUUGUGACAAGGCGAUCAAGAUUUCCCCUUGGCAAGGUCUCUACCUACAAAGUCGAUGGCUGGGCCCAGAAAGAUAUCCCAAACCUAGUAUGCAUACCCCAAAAAGCCCUCACUGGGUUCACAGUCAUAUUGAGCAUAAAUAACCAUUCUCCAAUACUAGAAAAUCAAAUUCAGAAAUCAAUAUCUUAAACCAAAAAAAUAACAUUUGCGGCAUAGCCCAUCAUCCAUUUUAUAUCCAUUUCUCAAAUCAUCAUAAACCUUUUCAUGAAUCAAUCACAAAGCAAUUUCAUAGAUAUUUCUCCACUUACUUUGUAUAAUACACUUUUCAAACAUCCACAAUCAACCAAUGAGUAGCAAUUGCUUGACCUGGCUUUUAUGCAAUAAAAAUGCUCUUCUCAAUUCAAUAUAUAUACAUAUAUAUAUAUAUAUAUAUAUAUAUAUAUAUAUAUAUAUAUAUAUAUAUACUUCAAGACAUGAUUUUUACAAAACCAAAGAAGAUAUAGUACCACUCACCUCGUCCUCUACGACCAAAUGACGAACGAUACUUGUGUCGUCGAACUCAAUGCCCUAUCAAAUAACCAAGAAAAAUGUUAAAAUCUAAUAAAACUCUAUCUCAACUACGAAACAACUAAAUUACGCCUUAACUCUAACAAAAGGAUUUCUACUCGCUAACAAUUUGCAUAACCAAAACUAUUGUUCAAGCCAUUUGUGACGCGGAGUUUAAGCGCAAAACUUAGUUACGCAAUAACUUUCUCCUUCGAACCCCGUUCCGAACGUACUUAUGGUCAAUAAAGAGCCCUUGACACAUAUUACAAGAAUCCCAACUUGACUGUCCCAAAAUCAAGCAAAAAGAUGACAAAAUACGGGCCCAAAGCUGCUGGACGCGUACUAUUCAUUGCGCGCGAGAAACUUUGAAAUUUUGUUUUGGAAAAACUUAUAAGCUCAAAUCAUGAUCCAUAAAAUCCCACGGCUCCACAACCCCUAAACUACCAUUCCUACAAAAAUACACGGCCUAACGACUCCAAAAUCGGACUUCGCUGCUCAAUUUUCCAAAAAUUCCGAAUUUGAACCCUAAACCUAUAAACUGCUUCAAUUGGACGAAUGGGGGGCCUGAUCUCUUACCGGGUGCUGCAUUAUGGGGUCGAGUUGGCUUGGUGAGACAUCUGAGGCGUGCAUGUGCCAAAACUCCUUUCCUUUCUCCUUCUUCUUCUUUUUUUUUUUUUUUUUGGUUGAGGACCCCUCAGCUUCUAUUUAACCGAGCCCUAACUUUUCAACUUCUUUUUAUAUUUUUUCUUUUGGGGCCCAGUAGCCAAAUAUUACAUUCUACCUUCCUAAAAAAAAAAUUCGUCCUCGAAAUUUACAUGUACUUCAAUCAUAAAACAAGUGAGGGUAUUUGUGUCAUGCCUCCUCCUCAAGUUCCCAAGUAGCCUCUCUCUCGGUGUGGUUUUGCCAUUGUAUUUUCACAUAAGGAAUAGUUCGUCGCCGCAACACCUGAUCCUUCUUAUCGACAAUGCAAAUAUGUUGUUCCUCAUAUGUCAAGUUCUCCCGUAAUCUCAAUGGAGUAAAGUCUAGCACAUGUUCAGGAUUUGCACAUAUUUCCGCAACAAAGAGACAUGGAACACAUUAUGGACACCUGAUAGUGCCGGUGGCAAAGCUAAUUUAUAAGCGACUUCACCAAUUUUCUCUAAGAUCAAGAAUGGUCCCAUGUACCUUGGACUUAACUUCCCACGUGUGUCAAAUCUCGUUACACCCUUCGUAGGAGAAACUUUUAAGAACAUGUGAUCCCCCACAUUAAAUUCUAACUUGUGUCUUUUUAGAUCAGCAUAACUUUUCUGACGAUUUUGAGCCGUUCUGAGACGUUCUCGAACCAACCUAACUUUCUCUUCUGACUGCUGGAUGAACUCAGAGCCAGUUAGUCUUUUCUCACCAACGUCAUCCCAAAAAAUAGGACUUCUACAUUUUCGCGCCAUCUUAAUACUGGAGUGAUAAUUGUUGUUAUAAGAAAAUUCUGCCAAAUAUAGAUGUUCAUCCCAAGAACCGCCAAAGUCAAUGAUGCAUGAUCUCAACAUAUCCUCUAAUGUCUGGAUCGUUCUCUCUGAUUGUUCAUCUGUUUGUGGAUGAAAAGCUAUACUUAAGUUGAGUUUAGUGCCCAAUGUUGCUUGCAAACUCUUCCAAAAGUUAGACACGAACCUAGGAUCCCUAUCAGAAACAAUGCUUACAGGAACUCCAUGAAGCUUCACUAUCUCAUUAACAUAUCGCCUUGCCAUAUCUUCCAUUGAAAGACCAAAUUGAUAUGACAAAAAGUGAGUGGACUUAGUUAAUCAAUCACUGUUCACCCAAAUAGAAUUCCUACCACUUGGCGUCCUCGGUAGACCAACUACAAAGUCCAUGGCAAUAUGCUCCCACUUCCAUUUAGGUAUCUUUAGAGGUUGCAACUAUCCACCUGGUUUAUGAUGUUCAAUUUUCACUGGCUGAUAAACUAAACAUUGAUCAACAAAUUUUAUAAUAUCAUUUUUCAUGUUGAUUCACCAAAAGUUUUUUCUCAAGUCCCUAUACAUUUUAGUGCUUCCCGGAUGAAUUGAAAAUCUAGUACUGUGAGCUUCUUGCAGGAUCUCCUUUUUUUAGCUUUGAGUCCUCAGGAACACAUAGUCGACCACGAAACAUCAAGGAUCCAUCUAUAUGUAAACUAAAUCUGCUUGUCUUCUAGCUUCCACAGCUUCUCUAAUUUUUUGUAAUUGUGGAUCUUCAUUCUGUUUAGCCUUAAUUAUGUUAAUCAACAUAGGUUGUACUUGAAGAUUAGCUAAUUGAGCACCAAGCUGCUGCACCAACACCUCUAAGUCUAACUUCCUCAUAUCUUCAAGAAUGGGUUUUUAAGAAGUGAGCAAAGCUACCAUAUUUCCAAAGGAUUUACGACUUAAAGCAUCCGCUACCACAUUAGCCUUACCCGGAUGGUAAUUAAUGGAUAAGUCAUUAUCCUUCAAAAGUUCUAACCAUCUUCUUUGCCUCAUGUUCAGUUCUUUCUGAGUAAAAAUAUACUUUAGACUCUUGUGAUCGGUAAAGGCUUCACAUUUUUCACCAUACAAAUGAUGCCACCAUAUCUUCAAGGCAAACACAACCGCCGCUAACUCCAAAUCAUGAGUGGGGUAGUUCUUCUCAUGUAAUUUCAAUUGUCUAGAAGCAUAGGUAACAACUUUGCUAUUUUGCAUAUGAACACAACCCAAACCUUCUUUGGAUGCGUCGCAAUAGAUUAUGAAGCCACCACUUCCAAAAGGUAGAGUUAGAAUAGGAGCCGACACCAGCCGUCUCUUCAACUCUUGAAAACUGCGUUCACAUUGGUCUGACCAUUCAAAUUUAACUUUCUUCUGGGUUAGACGGGUAAGUGGACUAGCAAUCUUUGAGAAUCCCUCUACAAAUCGCUUAUAGUAGCCGGCUAGCCCAAGAAAACUUCUCACUUCUAUAACAUUAGUUGGACGAUUCCACUUAACAACUACUUCAACCUUCUUUGGAUCCACUAAUAUGCCAUCCUUCGAGAUCACGUGACCCAAGAAUUCUAUAUGAUCAAGCCAAAAAUCACACUUACUAAAUUUGGCAUACAACUUCUUUUCAUGUAAAGUCUGCAAGACAAACCUCAAGUAUUGUUCGUGUUCCUCUAAACUCUUUGAAUACACUAGGAUGUCAUCAAUGAACACCAUAAUAAAUUUGUCUAGAUAUUCGUUGAACACUUUGUUCAUCAAGUCCAUGAAGGCAACAAGCGCAUUUGUUAAUCCAAAAGGCAUGACGAGAAAUUCAUAAUGGCCAUACCUUGUUCUAAAAGCAGUUUUAGGCACAUCAUCUAUUUUUAUCUUCAACUGAUGAUACCCAUAACGAAGGUCAAUCUUGGAAAAUACCUGAGCUCCCUGAAGUUGAUCAAAUAAAUCCUCAAUCUGAGGCAAAGGAUAUUUGUUUUUAACCGUUACCUUGUUAAGCUCUUGAUAAUCUAUGCAAAGCUACAUACUACCAUCCUUCUUUUUCACAAAUAGAACAGGAGCUCCCUAAGGCGAAACACUAGGUCUGAUGAAACCCUUAUCUAAAAGCUCUUCAGUUGCGUUUUCAAUUCUUUCAAUUUAGUGGGUGCCAUCCGAUAUGGUGCCUUAGAGAUUGGUGCUGUACCGGGCAUCAAUUCAAUACAAAACUCAAUUUCUCUAUCAAGAGGCAAUCCUGGUAAAUCCUCAGGAAACACACUUGGAAACUCUCUAACGACAGGAACAUCUUCCAACUUUACUACAACCUUAUGUGUGUCUUUUACACAAGCUAAAUAACCACAACAACCCUUUCUCAAAAGUUUCCUUGCUUGCAAAGCCGAGAUCAACCUUGGAGAAGUGUUUUGACAACUUCUCGAAAAAGAGAAUUCGGGUUGAUUCGAAAAUCUAAAUAUCACUUUUUUUGAAAAACAGUCAACAAUAGCACGAUAGGUAGAUCACCAAUCCAUUCCUAUAAUAACAUCGAAAUCUCGAAUAUUUAACUUUACUAGAUCCAGAGGCAUUUCAACAUUAUUAAUCUGAAUCACACAUCUCUUGAACACAUGAUGAACAACUAAGAAAUCGCCAGUAGGAGUAUCAACACACAAUUCACAUUCAAGAGGGUCAGGCAACACAUCAAGCUUCUUUGCAAAUUCAGUUGAAAUGAAGAAGUGCGUAGCACCAGGAUCAAAUAAGGCAUAAGCACAUUGUGAGGCAAUAGAAAUAUUACCUGCAACAAUUGCGUUAGAUGCUGCCGCAUCCUCCUUCGUCAUCGCAAAAAAUUUCUCACUUGUACUUUGUCUUUGUUGGUUCUCUUGGGGCCUACCAACGAAAGGGGUAUUCCUCCGCAUGGAACACUGGUGUGCUAGGUGGCCUUGUUGCCCACAUAGAUUACAUGAUCUAUUGCCAAUAGGAUGAUUCCUUUGUGUAGAACAAUCUCGCAGCAUGUGUCCCGCUUUCCCACAUGAGAAGCAUACUUCAGUUUUCCAAUGACACUCACUGCGAUGAUAACUUCCACAUGUAUUACAAGGGCCUUGGUUACUCGAAUUUCUGAACUAUCCUGGCUGGCUGAAACCUCUUCGCCUUCCACUACCAUCAGUAUGGCUACCUUGUACAUUUGUGGGCUUAAACCUUUUGGGUUGAGGCGCUCCUUGUGUGCCAUGCUUCAGAAUGCUUUGUUCCACCUUGAUUGUCCGUUCUAGCACAUCCUUAUAAGUUUUUAAUAUGAAAGGUGCAAGUGCAGAAUUAAUUUCAGGUCGGAGCCCUCCUAGGAAAUGGUCGUUCUUAUCUUCCUCAUUUGCUACCAAGUGCUAUGUAAAUGUACUCAACUGAUUAAAGCACCGUGGAGUCACCCUCAGAUAUAUGUACAAAGUCACCCUUCAUCUUUGCUUGGAAUGACUUUGGGAAGAAUUGAGCAUUGAACGCCUUUUUAAAGUCCUCCCAGGAUAUAAUAACAUCCCUACCUCCAAGACUUGGCUUCAUUCCAUCCCACCAAAACUCUACUUCACCUUCCAGGUAUUGGGUGGCAAAUUGAACUUUUCGAUCCACGGGAACCUCUUCAGCUUCAAAGAUCCCAUCAAUCUUUUUAAUCCAACGCUUAGUCGCAAGAGGAUCAGCUUUCCCAUCAAAAGUGGGUGGUUUUGCCUUUCUUAAAUGGCAAAAGUGCCUGAGCCAGUCACUCCAUCUCCAGUUAAUUCUUUUGCUUGUUGAUACCAAUGGAUCAUUGCUUGUUCAAAUUCAGUUGAACGGGUUGGCUCUUGAUCCUCUUCUUUGACUUCGCGCAAGUUAGGACUCCUAUUAUAGUGGUCCUCAAGUCUCCUUCUCAAAAACGCACCUCGAGAAGCUUGAGGCAUGUCUCUAGCCUCAGGGGUAGCGACUCGUUUGCCUUUGCGGCUCCUACGAAGCGAGGCAAGUGUCUCAAAGUUGGUACUCAUGAUCACCUGAAUCUAAUAAUGAAACUACACCUUAGAAUCUAGAAGACUAACGCAAAAAUAAAAUCUAUCACACAACCUCACAACAUCCCAUAACUACAUCCAAAAAGAUCAAAACUUAGGCUCUGAUACAAAAAAUGUCACACCCCAAAACUACAAAGAAUGAGGAUGACACGGCCAUCAUUCCACACGAAUGACGCGACCUCAAACACAACCAACAAACUGAUAUCAACUUAUAUAUAUCUCAAACCAUAUAUAUACAUAUAAGAUAAACCAACAAAUUGGUUGCAAUAUCAGAGUUUCUAUAAUCCACUAAAAAAAAUAUACGUUUAAAACUCAGACAAUACAACCACUAGUAAGGAUCAUGUGCACCACUUCUUUAAACCAUACCAAAGAAAAUAAAAAUAGAACUCCUCAAAAGUUUCCCACCAACGGCCCUCUCGCUCUAUUCGCCGCUAACCGAGGAACUUGAAAAGAUUAAAGGAGGAGUGGGAUGAGCAACAACAGCUCAGUGAGUAGUACAUCUCUUCUAAGCAGAUUGAACAACCAUUAUGCAUGUAUAUAAAGUAAUACCAAACUUCAUAAUGCCAACUCAAUAUAUAAAAUACAUAUCGAAUCUUAUAAGAGUUAUUUCUUAUCAUCAAAGCUUAAUAAUAAUAUGGAAAACUCAUUUAAAUCGCCAUCAAAAGUCAAGUAUCAAUGGUCAAAUCCAUUGAAUAAUCUCCAUCAAAAACACAUAUCAAUGAUCUAUCCAUUCAUUCAUCUCAUAUCAAACACAUAUUGAUGGUCCAUCCAUCGACCAAUCUUUUGCUCAAUAACUAACCAUGGUCACAACACAACGCCUUGUGACAAGGCGACCGAGAUUUCCCCUUGGCAAGGUCUCCACCUACAAAGUCGAUGGCUGGGCCCAGAAGGAUAUCCCAAAUCUAGUAUGCAUACCCCAAAAAGCCCUCACUGGGUUCACAGUCAUAUUGAGCAUAAUAACCAUUCUCCAAUACCAGAAAAUCCAAUCAAGAAAUCAAUAUCUUAAACUAAACGAAUAACAUUUGCGGCAUAGCCCAUCAUCCAUUUCAUAUCAAUUUCUCAAAUCAUCAUAAACCCUUUCAUGAAUCAAUCGCAAAGUAAUUUCAUAUAUAUUUCUCCACUUACUUUGUAUAAUACACUUUUCAAACAUCCACAAUCAACCAAAGAGUAACAAUUGCUCAAUCUGGCUUUUAUGCAAUACAAAUGCUCUUCUCGAUUCAAUAUAUAUAUACUUCAAGACAUGAUUUUUACAAAACCAAAGAAGAUAUAGUACGACUCACAUUGUCGUCUACAACCAAACGACGAACGAUACUCGUAUCGUGGAAUUCAAGGCCCUAUCAAAUAACCAAGAAAAAUGUUAAAAUCUAAUAAAACUCUAUCUCAAUUACGAAACAACUAAAUUACGCCUUAACUCUAACAAAAAGACUUCUACGCGCUAACAAUUCGCAUAACCAAAACGAUUGUUCAAGCCAGUCGUGAUGCGGAGUUUAAGCGCAAAACUUAGUUACGCAAUAACUUCCUCCUCCAAACCCCAUUCUGAACGUACUUAUAGUCAAUAGAGAGCCCUUGACAAAUAUUACAAGAAUCCCAACUUGACCAUCCCAAAAUCAAGCUGAAAGAUGACAAAAUACGAGCCCAAAGUUGCUGGACGCGUACUGUUCACUGCGCGCAAGAAACUUUGAAAUUUUGUUUCGGACAAACCAUAUGCUCAAAUCACGAUCCGUAAAAUCCCACGGCUUCACAACACCCUGAACUACCAUUCCUACAAAAAUACACAGCUCAACGACUCCAAAAAUGGACUUUGCCGCUGGAUUUUCUAAAAGUUCCGAAUUUGAACCCUAAACCCAUAAACUACUUCAAUUGGAUGAACGAGGAGCCUAAUCUCUUACCGGGUGCUGUGUUAUGGGGUCGAGUUGGCUUGGUGAGGCGUUCAAGGUGUGCACGUGCUAAAACUCUUUUCCUUUCUUCCCCUUUCUCUUCUUUCUUUUCUUUCUGGUUGAGGACCCCUCAGCUUCUAUUUAACCGAGCCCUCUCCUCUCUUCUUUUUACUUUAUUGACUUUUCAACUUCUUUUUAUGUUUCUUCUUUUGGGGCCCACUAGCCAAAUAUUACACCUUCCCACCGAGUCAAGUCAAUGUCGCCCCUACCAUCUUCUACGUCUCGACGUGAGGAAGUUAUUGUUGCCCGAGUGACACAUGUAAUGACGCCUUGAGGCCCUCCAUCUUUUCCUUAUCACAACUUGUCCCGUUCUUGCACCGAUUCCUCACUCCUAGUGCGUCCCACUUUCACCAGAUUUCUGAGGAAGAAAGGAAAAUGUCGAGCUCUCAGUGUUUUGAGAACCCACCAAACCUGAGCUCCACUUGCGGAGCAGGACACGUUGAAGAGCUUGCAGGUCUCAAGACUUACGUCACCGGCCCUUCCGAUUCCAAGCGUGCUGUUCUUCUCAUCGCCGAUGUUUUCGGUACUGGCCCAUUUCUUUAAUUUUGAUUUUGUGGUGUUUCUCUCAGUUGGGUCUUUUCUUUUGGUCAAUUAUGUAUAUCUCCUUGGUUCUUUGUCGUUCUUGUGCUUUUCGAUUGGUCCAUGAUAUUGCUG